This 482-nucleotide ribosomal RNA is filed under the name uncultured bacterium. RNAcentral's name for it is "partial 16S ribosomal RNA". It matches the Rfam family "Bacterial small subunit ribosomal RNA", at positions 30 to 507 of the family's 1533-position model. The record is from RNAcentral.
AUUGAACGCUGGCGGCAUGCCUUACACAUGCAAGUCGAACGGUAACAGGUCUUCGGAUGCUGACGAGUGGCGAACGGGUGAGUAAUACAUCGGAACGUGCCCGAUCGUGGGGGAUAACGAGGCGAAAGCUUUGCUAAUACCGCAUACGAUCUACGGAUGAAAGCGGGGGAUCUUCGGACCUCGCGCGGACGGAGCGGCCGAUGGCAGAUUAGGUAGUUGGUGGGAUAAAAGCUUACCAAGCCGACGAUCUGUAGCUGGUCUGAGAGGAUGAUCAGCCACACUGGGACUGAGACACGGCCCAGACUCCUACGGGAGGCAGCAGUGGGGAAUUUUGGACAAUGGGCGAAAGCCUGAUCCAGCCAUGCCGCGUGCAGGAUGAAGGCCUUCGGGUUGUAAACUGCUUUUGUACGGAACGAAAAGCCUCUUUCUAAUAAAGAGAGGUCAUGACGGUACCGUAAAAAUAAGCACCGGCUAACUACGUG